AGUGAACGCUGGCGGCGUGCCUAAUACAUGCAAGUCGAACGAAGUGGCGCACGGGUGAGUAAUAUAUAGUUAAUCUGCCCUACACAGAGGAACAACAGUUGGAAACGACUGCUAAUACCUCAUAGUGUUUGAUGAGACUAUAUCGUAUCAGCUAGUUGGUAAGGUUAUGGCUUACAAAGGCUAUGACGCGUAACUGGUCUGAGAGGAUGAUCAGUCACAUUGGAAAUGAGACACGGUCCAAACUCCUACGGGAGGCAGCAGUAAGGAAUAAUGCGCAAUGGGGGAAACCCUGACGCAGAAGCGCCGCGUGGAGGAUGACACUUUUCGGAGCGUAAACUCCUUUUAUCAGGAAGGCGGUACCUGGUGAAGAAGCACCGGCUAACUCCGUGCCAGCAGCCGCGGUAAUUC
RNAcentral lists this ribosomal RNA (408 nucleotides) under uncultured bacterium. Its description in RNAcentral is "partial 16S ribosomal RNA". It matches the Rfam family "Bacterial small subunit ribosomal RNA", at positions 29 to 526 of the family's 1533-position model. The record is from RNAcentral.